This 429-nucleotide ribosomal RNA is filed under the name uncultured archaeon. RNAcentral's name for it is "bacterial SSU rRNA". It matches the Rfam family "Archaeal small subunit ribosomal RNA", at positions 474 to 903 of the family's 1478-position model. The record is from RNAcentral.
UACCAGCUCUCCGAGUGGUAGGGAUGAUUAUUGGGCUUAAAGCGUCCGUAGCCGGCUUAGCAAGUCUCCUGUUAAAUUCAGCGACCUAAUCGUUGAGCCGCGGGAGAUACUACUGGGCUAGGAGGCGGGAGAGGUCGACGGUACUUCCGGGGUAGGGGUGAAAUCCUAUAAUCCCGGGAGGACCACCAGUGGCGAAGGCUGUCGACUAGAACGCGCUCGACGGUGAGGGACGAAAGCUGGGGGAGCGAACCGGAUUAGAUACCCGGGUAGUCCCAGCUGUAAACGAUGCGGGCUAGGUGUUGGGGUGGCUACGUGCCACUUCAGUGCCGCAGGGAAGCCAUUAAGCCCGCCGCCUGGGGAGUACGGCCGCAGGGCUGAAACUUAAAGGAAUUGGCGGGGGAGCACCACAAGGCGUGAAGCUUGCGGUUC